Arachis duranensis is the source of this 2133-nucleotide RNA transcript. It is a transcript of the gene named SNF1-related protein kinase regulatory subunit beta-2, with no coding region annotated. The transcript has 5 exons. The record is from RefSeq and is a predicted model, not a curated record. Lineage: Eukaryota; Viridiplantae; Streptophyta; Magnoliopsida; Fabales; Fabaceae.
AAACCAAUUUUAUUUGUACCCUUUGAUUUUUCUUUACAAAGACGAAUGAUGUGCACAGUUGAUGACACAGUACAGUUUGUGGUUGUUAAGUUGUUCGUGAUGGCAGGGGAACAUUCUCCCCCUUAAACCAGGUCACAGUCCUGAGCAGAAUCUUCCAAACUCAUUGGAGAAUAUAACAUUACAUAACAUAGACCUUGUCUAUAGAGGGAGAGAGAGAGGUUGAUGAUCAAAGAUUCAAAAGAAAAGUAGCUGUAGCUUCCCUUGAUCAUCUUGUUUACAUCACUUUGAUUGCAAUCAACUUGUUCUGCUUUGGGUGAUGGGAAGUCACGGCAAAGGAAAAGACGGCGAAGGCACUUCUGGACUUAAAGAUGAUGACAAGUAUGAACCACAAUUGAGAUUCCAUACCCCAACAGCAACAGCACCACAGCGGCAAAUGCAAGAUGGAUAUGUAGAAAGAGUGGUACAUCAGAGAUUGAAACGUGUGAAUAUUACUUGGAACCAUCCAGUAAGCAGGGAUGUUGCUGUUAUAGGAUCAUGGGACAACUGGGAAACCAGAGACACCCUGCACUUGCAGUCUCCCCCUCAUCCUCAUGCUUAUGCCAUUGUUAAAGCACUUCCAACAGGUAUCUAUCAUUACCGUUUCAUUGUAGAUGGAUAUCUCACCCAUGCUCCAGAAUUCCCCUGGGCUUUUGAUCAUUCUGGUUUCCCCUACAACAUCUUGGAUUUGCAGGAUUAUAUUCCAGAAACGGCUGCAAGGUUAGAUGAUGCCCAAGAUCCUCCAUCCCCACCAUGGACUUAUGAUAACAUGCUCUUAAACGACGAUGAGUUUGGCAGGCCUCCGCCCGAGUUACCACCACAACUACCACUCACAACAAGAGAUGACCCUUCUUCUUCAUCCACGGUUCUUCCUAGACCCUCCCAUCUGGAACUCAAUCAUCUAUACAUCCACAAAACCGAUGGGGGUGACUUCGCCGCCCUGCGUUCCACGGAGAAGUUUGGACAGAAAUAUGUGAGCAUGGUGUUGUACAAGUCCCUCCCAAGGGAAAGAUGAUAAAAGAUUUUUGAGUUUGUGUAUUGUGUUUGAACUAUGCUGGGCUGAUGGGACCAUUUAUUUGUUUGUUAAGGAAGCAAUCCAAGGGUUCUCAAGUGGUAGGAGUUUGUUGGCAUACCAAAGACGAUGAUGUAUUAUAUCAGCGCACGGAAGCUGUUUGCUGAAAUGCCCCAAAGGAACACUGUUUCCUGGUCUUGUUUGAUUUCAGGAUAUGCACAAAUCACUAUGCCAUUGGUAGUGCCCUUCGAGCUUGCAAAGACGGAAGGCUUAAACUCGGCAUGGAUAUUCAUGCCUUAAUUUCUAAGUCUCGAUUCUCUUCAGACAUGCCCAUGUAUGAUGAUGCUCCUCGUGUCACAUCAUGGAAUUCUAUUGCCAUAGGGGGGGAUCCAACUUCUUGUCUCGUGGAAUUCUAUGAUCUCUGGCCUUGACCACAAUGAACAAUUUGAGGAAGCAGUUGCCUGUUUCAAUACAAUGAGGAGACAUGGAAUGGUGCCCUCAAAUUUCUCAGUUAUUAGCACUUUGAGUUCUUGUGCAAGCUUGGGUUGGAUCAUGUGCGGAACAUGUAUUCUUGGACUAGAGACUCGAAUAGAGCACUUGUCUUGUAUGGCAGACCUCCUUGGACAAGCUAGAUGACUUUAUCAAAACAAUGCCAAUGGAUGGAGAACAGUUUUAGGAGCAUGUUGCCAAGAUGCUUAUUGAGCCCCAGAAUGGUGUGAACUAUGUUCUACUUUCAAAAAUAAGGGAUGCUGGAUAUGUGCCUGAAGAUCUUGAACUUGAAAACAAACAAGAGCUGCUGAGCUAUCAUAGUGAAAAGUUGGCAAUUGCUUUUGUUCUCACUCGAAACUCUGAACUACCAAUCAGGAAUUCAGGAUAAUGAAGAAUUGUCACACUGCUCGAAGAAAUAUAGAAAUAGGCAAUAAGAUGCCAUUUUCGGAAACUUUGAGUAAUAAGAAAGGAGAGUGUCCUCAAGGACAGUUAACAGGUUAUGCUUUCAGUUUCUAUAUCUAAUUUGCUUACACCAAUCUGUUUGUGGGGUAGGGACCAUGAGUCCAAAAUAAAAAUGUUAUUCGUUAACAAUUUAA